Molecule: ribosomal RNA, 742 nt
Filed under: uncultured bacterium
Lineage: Bacteria
Description: bacterial SSU rRNA
Rfam family: Bacterial small subunit ribosomal RNA
Source: RNAcentral
AGAGUUUGAUCCUGGCUCAGAUUGAACGCUGGCGGCAGGCCUAACACAUGCAAGUCGAGCGGAAACGAUCCUAGCUUGCUAGGAGGCGUCGAGCGGCGGACGGGUGAGUACUGCAUAGGAAUCUGCCCGGUAGUGGGGGAUAACCUGGGGAAACUCAGGCUAAUACCGCAUACGUCCUACGGGAGAAAGGGGGCCUUGGCUCCCGCUAUCGGAUGAGCCUAUGCCGGAUUAGCUAGUUGGUGAGGUAAUGGCUCACCAAGGCGACGAUCCGUAGCUGGUCUGAGAGGAUGAUCAGCCACAUCGGGACUGAGACACGGCCCGAACUCCUACGGGAGGCAGCAGUGGGGAAUAUUGGACAAUGGGGGCAACCCUGAUCCAGCCAUGCCGCGUGUGUGAAGAAGGCCCUCGGGUUGUAAAGCACUUUCAGUGAGGAAGAACGCCUGAUGGUUAAUACCCGUCAGGAAAGACAUCACUCACAGAAGAAGCACCGGCUAACUCCGUGCCAGCAGCCGCGGUAAUACGGAGGGUGCAAGCGUUAAUCGGAAUUACUGGGCGUAAAGCGCGCGUAGGUGGCUUGAUAAGCCGGUUGUGAAAGCCCCGGGCUCAACCUGGGAACGGCAUCCGGAACUGUCAGGCUAGAGUGCAGGAGAAGGAAGGUAGAAUUCCCGGUGUAGCGGUGAAAUGCGCAGAGAUCGGGGAGGAAUUACCAGUGGCGAAAGCGGCCUUUCUGGACUGACACUGA